Lutra lutra (Eurasian river otter) is the source of this 1085-nucleotide long non-coding RNA. RefSeq lists it as uncharacterized. The record is from RefSeq and is a predicted model, not a curated record. NCBI's taxonomy places the organism in Eukaryota, Metazoa, Chordata, Mammalia, Carnivora, Mustelidae. The transcript has 3 exons.
UGGCGAGCCAGAAUUCAAAGGGAGGUCUGCGGGGCCCAGGGGUGCAGAGUGGCUGCUGCACGCUCUGACUUCUCGAAGGGGAGAGUCAUCGUUUAUCCCAUCCUCUGCAGUGUUCCGAGCCGUGCCGCCUGCUGCCCCAGAGUGGAGAGGUUUCCGGUGGGUACCCAAGCUGGUCAUGUCACAGCCCUGCUUGGAACCGUGGCUGUCAUCCCCAGGGUCAAGGGCUGCCCAGCUGGCAGAAGCGUUGGGAGGUCUGAAUAAUGAAUACAUGAAUAAAUUAUUAUUCACUAUGGUGAGAGAUGAGAACAGCACCAAAGUUUGAGUUGAGUUUGGAAGGCUAAAGAAACCAAACCGGAAAGGCUCUAGUUUCUAGAGGCUAGGAGAAGAGAAAGAACCAAGGAGCCUAAUUUAUCCUCCCGAGCAAGGGCAGGUGUAAGCCUAUGUGUCCUCAGAAGAGCCAGACAGUGGACCUCCUGCUUCCAGGAUCUCCGUGGGGGUGGAGAUGUCUUAGUGGACAUCUUUGUCAGGACAAACAAUGAAGAUGAGCAUAGCUGGCUGUCUUGACGCCAUCUGCCUACAAUCAGUCUGUCUAUGGCAAUCAGCGACCCUCUCCGACUCCUGCUUCUGUUUGUUCUAGUAACUCAAGACCACAAUGGUCACCUCCAUCCAUUCUUCCUGGCCAGUGAAUUGGUUCCCAAGAUUUGGAGAAUGCUUCAAAUGACCAGCAUGCUUCCUACAUGCUGCCUUUCCAUCAUCCACACGGCAAACAUUCACUGAACACCCAGUGUCUCCGAAACACCGAAACACCGUUGGGUGGCAGUGGCAUACUGAAGUCGCCCGGGGCCUCGAGGACUCAAAGCUAAUCCCUCCAGUUCCCUUCAUGUAAAGAGGAGACAUCGAGAAUGCAGCCCACACCUUCAAGGGACUUAAAGCCUCACGGGAUUAACCACCUGGCAAUGUGAUUGAGUGGGUCCCUUCCCUUCUCUGGGCCUUAGGCUCCUGCUGGGCGGUAACAGGGAGGAUAAGGCUCUCUGACCUUGAGUCCUUGCCCGGCCUCACAUAAUUCCAAAGUAGGUUCUACGCAU